Non-coding RNA from Camponotus floridanus (Florida carpenter ant), 46 nucleotides. Lineage: Eukaryota; Metazoa; Arthropoda; Insecta; Hymenoptera; Formicidae. The record is from Rfam.
CCAACGGCCCUUCUCAGGGCUAUGUACAUAACGUGUAAAAUAAACU